Cavia porcellus (domestic guinea pig) is the source of this 1068-nucleotide long non-coding RNA. RefSeq lists it as uncharacterized. The transcript has 2 exons. NCBI's taxonomy places the organism in Eukaryota, Metazoa, Chordata, Mammalia, Rodentia, Caviidae. The record is from RefSeq and is a predicted model, not a curated record.
UGUCUUUUUUCUUUUACUGGUACAGAACUAGUUUGGAUUACAGAAACAUUCUGGCUCUACAGAAUGAACAAUAAUAAAGCAACAAACUUUUUAAAAGAAUAUAUUAAAAGCUGUGUUCAGAACAUGUGAAUAUUGAAUGCGGUUUUACUUCUUGGUGAAAGAUGUGACCAGAGAUUAUUCCCUUCCUUUUUGAUAGAUGCGCCAUCUUUAUGUGGCGAUAGACGGAUCACGGACAAUGGAGGACCAAGAUUUAAAGCCUAAUAGACUGACAUGUACAUUAAAGCUUUUGAGGAAGAAUCAGAUAAGCCAUCAGCAGUAAUCGCAGUACCUGGUAUAGAAGGACGAAUCUGCCAUAUUUUCCAGCACAUGAAAGAACACUUACAUCAAGUUAGAAUUGCAAGAAAACAGAGUUUCAGAGUUUUACCAACCAUUAGUGAUACUGCAUCUGAAAAUUCUGAUUCUAAUUGAAAUAUAAUAUAGGUAACAUGUUUCAUCUGUAAAUGCCAAAAUGAAUCUGGUCAACUAACAUACAAUUUGCAUUGCUAAAUAUAGUAAUAUAAUCGACAGUGUUAUAGAAUUGAUGUUGAUACUAGCAAUACUGCACUACAUGUUCAUUUUAUUUGAUUCUUAUCAUGUCUUAUAGCUUUUGACUCUCAGAUGUAUGACUUUAGGAAACAAUAUAGGUACAAUUUUGAAUAUGUUUUUGAUUUAAAUAUAUAUAAUGUAUGUUUCCAGAUUAAACGAGUUGCAUGCUUACUUUUCCACAAUAAUUUAUAUGUUGUUUUUCCUUUUAAUCUUGCUUUGCUUAUGUUUUCUAUCUGAAUGAAAUAUAGACACACAUAUACAUAUAUAUGUAUAUAUAUAGGAAUAUUUGUAUUUAUAUGUAUGUAUAUACUUUUCCUUCCAUUGUUGCCUUAAAAUCACCUUAUUUCACUAUUAUGAUUCUGAUUUGGAUCAGAAUAAGGAAAAAUAAAGUAAAUAUCUAAUACUGAUCUUGACUGUUCUUUUGUAACAUAAAUGAGAUUGUAAAGUAUAGCAAAGGAAUAAUAAAAACUUUAUUUAAAGAUG